Molecule: unclassified non-coding RNA, 1655 nt
Filed under: Hevea brasiliensis (rubber tree)
Lineage: Eukaryota; Viridiplantae; Streptophyta; Magnoliopsida; Malpighiales; Euphorbiaceae
Source: RNAcentral
GUUUCUUGGAUUAUUUGGAGAGAGGUCUUGGUUCUGAAGAAAACAAUAAUAAUCUCCUCGAUAAGUUACAAGAUGCAAUUGGCAGGGGUCAAAAUCCUCUUUCAGUUCUUCCUUCACUUAUGGCAGAGCCAGAGAUCAUAACUAUAUCUGAUCCGGGUGUGGGGAUUUCAGGAUCAGGUGCCAAAUACUGUUAUGACAGGUUUCCUGCAAAUGUCAGAACGGAAGAGCAGGAGGAAAAGAGGAAGCAGAUUCUAGCAGCAGCAAGUGGAGCACUUGAAUAUUCUGGGAGGCAUACUACUAGUUCACUUUCAGUACUUGCUGGAAAUGAUUCAAAGGCCGAAAGUCUAAGCCCCAGAGAGCGAGCUGCAGAGAGGGAACGUAUGGUUUUGGACAUAAAAGUUAAGCUUCAGGGAUUGUGGGUACGCCUUGUGAAUUUGGGACAAACUGAUGAUCCUCUUUCCUCCUUUGAAUAUGGAACCAUCCUCGCACUUAUUGAGUCAGAUGCUGAAGGAAUUGGUGGUAGUGGUUUCGUUGAAUGUAUAAGAGAGCACAUUCAUUCAGGUUUGAACUGUCAAUUGUCAGAGGAGCAGUUUAUUGCAGUCAAAGAACUGCUGAAAACAACAAUUAAUCUUGCUAUGUCUAGGAAUGACAUGGCAACUGUCAGAGAUGCCCUGGAAGUCUCUGCAGAAAUGUACAAGAAGGAUAUAAACAAUGUCUCUGACUAUGUUCAACGACAUCUUCGUUCUCUUUCUAUCUGGGAGGAGCUACGUUUCUGGGAAGGAUACUUUGAUUGUCUACUGGACCGUUAUUCUAGCAAGUCAACCAAUUAUGCAACUUUGGUGACAACCCAGCUCAUUGUUCUGGCUACUCACAUGGCUGGCCUUGGACUUCAUGAUACUGAUGCAUGGUACAUGAUUGAAACAAUAGCUGGGAAAAACAACAUUGGGUACAAGCACAUUAUAAAACUCCGUGGAUAUUUAUCCCAUGUCCGGCAUAUGUUUGUUGGUUACUGGGGAAUCCACUCAGUUAAGUUACAGUCUGCAUCUACCUUGGGAUUACUUUCCCCGCGAGCACAGGAUGCAUCUGAUGAUGCUCAACAACCUGCUGAGGCAUCUGGUAUCGGAAGAAGCUGGGUCCAGAGCAUGUUCAGCAGAGAUACGUCAAUAAGAGCCAAGUCUUUUGGUCGUGUUGGCAAAUGGUCUUCUGAUAGUGGUACUCUAGCUUCAAGCGAGAACGGGACGCCUCGAAAACAAGAUCUAUCAGCAGCUGGACAAAAGAAAAUGCAGACCAGCAUCCGUACAUUAAGGGGUCAUAGUGGUGCAGUUACCGCUAUACACUGUGUGACGAAAAGAGAGGUUUGGGAUUUAGUUGGUGACCGAGAGGAUGCUGGUUUCUUUAUUAGUGGAAGCACAGACUGCACGGUGAAGAUCUGGGAUCCUAGCCUUCGUGGUGCUGAACUUAGGGCUACUCUGAAUGGUCACACAAGGACUGUUAGGGCAAUUAGUUCUGACCGAGGGAAGGUGGUAUCAGGAUCCGAUGAUCAUUCUAUUCUUGUAUGGGAUAAACAAACAACACAACUACUUGAAGAAUUGAAGGGCCACAAUGCACAGGUCAGCUAUGUGCGCAUGCUUUCAGGUGAACGUGUCCUUACUGCU